This is a long non-coding RNA of Ahaetulla prasina, 1327 nucleotides long. RefSeq lists it as uncharacterized. The record is from RefSeq and is a predicted model, not a curated record. The transcript is spliced from 3 exons. NCBI's taxonomy places the organism in Eukaryota, Metazoa, Chordata, Lepidosauria, Squamata, Colubridae.
UGGUCUGCAAAACCUUUAAGAAACAAACAAAAAAAGUCAGACAGCUUUUGCUUCCGACCUAACCCAAAGUUCCCCUGUCUAAUGAUGCCUGCAGAGUGAAUUUGGGGGAGGGGGGGGAGAAUGGUCUUUAGCAACCUUUAUUGGGUUCCUGACAAAUUAUCUGCGCAGCAUAAUCCUGCCAUUGUCUGCUUCAGUAAGCAGGAAGAAGGUAUACUGGCCCUACAGGAAUGUGCAGACCAGCAUGUCUUCUUAUUCUCAAAAUGGAAAGAAUGUUUAUUGGAGCCAUGUUGCUGAAGAAGAGGAAAAUUCCAGUAUAAAUUAACAAUCAUAUUCCACUGAAGCUAUGGAAGGGAAAUGGUCAGAAACAAGGGAAAUAAAGGGUGAUGUCCAGGGUCAUCUAUGGGAAGAUGAAGACAAUAAAAAAAAGCACCUUGUGGCAUAACCUUCACCUUGCAGUGUCACAUUACAUGCAAGUAUGGCAGGGACAGGGGUGGGCUGCUGGGGGUUCGUGGAGGUUCAGGAGAACCUCUAGCUAAGAUUCUGUGUAGUUCGGAGAACCCCCAAAUCCCACUCCUGGCUGGCCCUGUCCACCCCACCCUGGCACUCCCAGGAGUCUACAUGCGGCCCAUUUUGGAUGCAGAUUGGAUGAGCCCUGCACUGCCCAUAUCUACCCAAAGAAAUCUGGCUGUUUGAAACAAAGAACAAGAUGACAGUCUUGUCACAACUAAUAUACAGAAAAUAUCUAUAUUUACAAUUUACUCUUACUUUCCCUGUGAUUAUAGUUCUUUACUGCUCUCAAGGACAGAGUUAGAGAACAUAGAACAAGCCCCAUAGCUUAUAUUCUUUACCCAUUAUCAUUUGGUAUUUGAGUCAUCUGUUUUGGACUAUGUCAUUUUUUAAAAUAAUAAUUUUAUUAAAGGGUACAAUACAAAAAUAAAAAAACUAAUGUGAACUAACAAAGUAUAAAAAGUGAAGAAAAAGAGAAGUGUGAUGAAAUGGAAAAACUAAAAAAAAAUUAAAAAAUCAAAAAUAAGAUCAAAAGAUAUAAAAAAUUAUUUCUCCCUUCCUCCAGGCAAGUAUAAACAACUUCAGUCACUUAGCACUUUCUCUAAUACUUCACUAAAAGAAACUUCUUCCCAAAUCUCAUUCUUUAUCAAUAAUAAAAUUAUAAAAACUCAUCAUUCAGUCCUAAUCAGCAAAAGUCUAUUAAGACCAGGGGUGCUAUUCAGCAGGUUCUGACAGGCUCUGGAGAACUGGUAGCAGAAAUUUUGAGCAGUUCGGAGAACUGGAAAAUACCACCUCUGGCUGGCCCCAGAGUGGGGAAGGA